GGGACCCUGGGAUAGAUAAAUGACCUCAGCCAAAGACACACGAAUGUGAAUGAAUCAACCUUGAUUCAUCCCAUGUGACAAAACCUACAGUAAGAAACUAACUAGGGGUCUGGUGUCAUGGCAUAAGCACACUAAGAUUCUAUAUACGUGCCAGUUCAUGUCCCAGUUGCUCCACUUCCCCUCCAGUUCCCUGCUUAUGGCCUGAGAAAGGCAACAG
This is a long non-coding RNA of Ochotona curzoniae (black-lipped pika), 217 nucleotides long. RefSeq lists it as uncharacterized. Lineage: Eukaryota; Metazoa; Chordata; Mammalia; Lagomorpha; Ochotonidae. The record is from RefSeq and is a predicted model, not a curated record. The transcript is spliced from 3 exons.